RNAcentral lists this ribosomal RNA (253 nucleotides) under uncultured bacterium. RNAcentral describes it as "partial 16S ribosomal RNA". It matches the Rfam family "Bacterial small subunit ribosomal RNA", at positions 524 to 776 of the family's 1533-position model. The record is from RNAcentral.
GACAGAGGAUGCAAGCGUUAUCCGGAAUGAUUGGGCGUAAAGCGUCUGUAGGUGGCUUUUUAAGUCCGCCGUCAAAUCCCAGGGCUCAACCCUGGACAGGCGGUGGAAACUACCAAGCUGGAGUACGGUAGGGGCAGAGGGAAUUUCCGGUGGAGCGGUGAAAUGCGUAGAGAUCGGAAAGAACACCAACGGCGAAGGCAGAUCACUGGGCCGCAACUGACGCUGAGGAGCGAAAGCAUGGGGAGCGAACAGG